GACGAACGCUGGCGGCGUGCCUAAUACAUGCAAGUCGAGCGCAGGAAACUGACGGAACUCUUCGGAGGGAAGGCAGCGGAAUGAGCGGCGGACGGGUGAGUAACACGUAAGGAACCUGCCUCAAGGAUUGGGAUAACUCCGAGAAAUCGGAGCUAAUACCGGAUAGUUCAUCGGACCGAAUGGUACGCUGAUGAAAGGCGCUCCGGCGUCACCUUGAGAUGGCCUUGCGGUGCAUUAGCUAGUUGGUGGGGUAACGGCCCACCAAGGAGACGAUGCAUAGCCGCCCUGAGAGGGUGAUCGGCCACACUGGGACUGAGACACGGCCCGGACUCCUACGGGAGGCAGCAGUAGGGAAUCUUCCACAAUGGACGAAAGUCUGAUGGAGCAACGCCGCGUGAGUGAUGAAGGUUUUCGGAUCGUAAAGCUCUGUUGUAAGGGAAGAACACGUACGAGAGGGAAUGCUCGUACCUUGACGGUACCUUACGAGAAAGCCACGGCUAACUACGUGCCAGCCGCCGCCGUAA
This 524-nucleotide ribosomal RNA is filed under the name uncultured bacterium. RNAcentral's name for it is "partial 16S ribosomal RNA". It matches the Rfam family "Bacterial small subunit ribosomal RNA", at positions 28 to 523 of the family's 1533-position model. The record is from RNAcentral.